This 42457-nucleotide long non-coding RNA is filed under the name Hordeum vulgare. RNAcentral's name for it is "long non-coding RNA (HVUL_LNC002230)". The record is from RNAcentral. Lineage: Eukaryota; Viridiplantae; Streptophyta; Magnoliopsida; Poales; Poaceae.
AUGAUGAAAUACGCUCCGAUGUGAUCACUAUAAAAGUUCAUGUUUUUUUUGUAGCUCACAUCACAAUAUAUUUCAUCAUAAAACUUUACAGACAUGUAGUACACAUCCCUAAGUAUCUCUAUUAUUAAAGGAAAAUCAACCAUCGUUGUUGUCGUCGUGAUGGUUCAACCUAUCAAUCAAAUCCAUGACGUUCCCUACGCAUGCCCAACCGAGAAAAUCAGCCCGAGAAAACAUGACAACCAACGAUCGCACAAAUCAGCCCAAUAAAACAUGCCAGCUCAUCCCACAACCACCGGCCCAAAAAUUCAAAUCGAGUCAAACCCACGAUCAAGGUCCAUCGACCCCGCGGGCAGCUCCAGCGACCUAGCCAACGCACGUCGCCAGCCCGAGCGCACGUCGCCAGUAGAAAAACAACAGUUUAUUCUUCCGGCAAGUUAGCCAUCCGGUCACAUCGUUCUCGCAUCAGGUGGAGCCUCUCAUGCAAUCAACCUAAAACAGCACUGCUCGCCAGCUGUUGCUCACAAAACAGCACUGCUCGCCGGCUGUUGCUGCAUCAGGUUUGUUCUUUCCGGCUUCGUUCUCGCACCAGGUGGAGCCUCUGAUGCAAUCAACGUGAAUCGCCUACGUUGCUCACAAAACAGCGCUGCUCGUCGGCUGUUGUUGCAUCCUCCUGGCGUCAUCUUCACAGUUCUUCACCUGCCGUCUUCUGCCUCUUAUGUGGCAAACGGCGGAGAAUCGCCUUUGUGAGCUCAUCAUGCCCUAGGUUUUCCAUCCUGAACUGUUUCCUGCAAAAAAAAAAAAAAAUCAUCAUGUCUUAGCAAAGUAGCUAUAGAAUAAAGAAACACCCUAAACUGAAUAUGUGGCAGCUCACCCAAUUUCAUAUUACUUACACAUGUUCCAGUGCAAUCCAGUUAUAAAGUCUUAUCAUUUUCUUAUUGCAAAAGAAUGCAGUUUAGUGAAUAACAUAUUGGCGACAAAGAUGUCACAGAAAAGAGGGAAUCUACAUGAUAAAGGAAGAAAGAGGUAUGUGUAUGCCAAUCACAUAUUUGGACAUAAGGUAUACAGUAAUCUUUCACAACUUAUCCUACAUUAAUUCUUAUCAGUUGUUGAAUAUGAGAUGACAGCGAAGCGACAACCCACCAUUACCCACCGACCACUAUCUGUUUUUUUUCAUACGCGACCAAACGGACACUACUAACUACAGUGCUUCGUCUUCCAACGAUGAUGACAAUCUUCCCACGCAACUCCGUAUGAUGGUUCCCGUAGCUAGCAAUCUCACGGCCUUUCGGCCAGUGCAACAUGUCAAAUACCCAAGAGGUAUCACCCUUACCCACUGACAUAUUUUCCAUUAGCAUUUAUACAUUUCAUAACCAAAGUGGUCCAUAAAAUGGUUUUUCAGGAAAUCAUUCUCGUGAAGCCACCUACUAUGAUCAUUGUGCAUCACUUGGAGGAACACAUAGCAGCACUGGACAUGAUAUUGUUUCAUAUAUAGCGUUGAGGCUCAGCACCUCACAUACUGGUCCUGAACACCUUGCUUCAAGUGUAGUCAUUACAUCAGACAAAAAACAGAAAAGGCCAAACGAAAUAGGUUAACACCUAAACAGAAGGAGGAAAUCAAUGCACAUCGUAGAGCAGCUAGGAAAAAGCAGAUGAGGAGAGGAAUUCGUGACAAAGAGAAGCCUGGCAACAUAUGAUAUCAAAGGAGAAGGAACAGAGUAGCGCCCUUAGAAGGGCGGCCUACCAAAAUGUGUCAGUCGAGGACAAGCAAGACAAGAAUAGUUGUGGAAGGGUGGCCUACCAAAAUAUAUCGGUCGAGGACAAGCAAGAUAGGAAUAGCUGCAGAAGGGCGGCCUACCAGUCGGUCGAGGACAAGCAAGAUAGGAACAGUUGUAGAAGGGCAGACUACCAAAAUAUGCUAGUCGAGGACAAGCAAGAUAGGAACAGCUGAAGAAGCCAAAAAGGGCCGCCUACCAGAAGAUGACUGACGACAAUGAGCAAGAGACAAACUCCCGCCGAAGAACACGUGUGGAAAACAUGUCACCCGAGGAGAAGCAGAAUAUGCUAGCUCAGCGAAAGGCAAAACUCACACCUAGACACAACACCCCUUGCAUUGAAUACGUCACAAUGCCGCGACCAGAUGCAGCUACCUUAGCUGCCCCCAACCUGAUGUUGACCAAUCAUGCAUUCGUAGACGAAGAAACCGCUGCUUCAUCUCAUGCCCCCCGGUCGGCAAGUAAGGUUGGUUACAAUUUGGCAUCACACAGUAAUCCCCCCAUCUUUACUCUACUUGGUAUGUCCAUCUAUGUUCAACAAGUAUUUACUGGAUCACUAAUGGUGCGGGCGAGUACCUUAGUCGUACCCUGGGCGACGAUGAUCAACAAGACGACCACAUAAAUGCGUCGCGCCAAAGCAAUGAUCAGCGAAUAUACAAUAACCAGAAUCAAGCCCAUGAGAAGAGGGGUGAGACUAGAGCACGUCGUAGGGCUUAGAAGCGAGCUCACAAAUAAGGUAUGGCGGUAAAGAAGAUUCAAGGGAAUGUCGUAAAAUGAAGAGCGCGCAGGAAGAGCAUACCAAAAGGUGAGAGGUCAGCAUUGCUAGAUCGUCGUAAUGCAAGCUUUGAAGCUAAACCGAGGACUCCCCGCCAAGCGGCAAGUACCUUAGAUACGAACAAAGGAGCAACAAACUCAUAUUCACCACCCAGAGGAGCUGCUUCACUAGCUUCCUCCCCUUCAUCAAGCACGUCGUCUUACACCAUAGGGACCGAAGGUAACCCUUCCAUCUUUACACUUCACCAAGUGACCAGCCACACUAAACCAUUACUUACCGGCUCAACAAUAUUGCAGCUGAUAUGGAAGCACGGAUGAUGAGGUUAUGGUAGAGCACGGAUGCAGACUCUCGGCAUUUCCAGGAGAGCAUUUGGUUCUUUAGCGGUCACUUCUCCUUCACUACCCUUGGCGUCAGCCUAGACAACAACUACACAAACAUGAAGUCUGGGGUAUACACGUUUCGGGCACAUGGCACUAUUUGCCACAAAGUGCACUCGUUCAGUACAAUAGCUCAUCCUGGACAUGUGAAGUUGUACUUCUACGAUGAUGACCCAAACUUAAGACAUCGCAAGGAGGCCACCGGUAAAUUGGACCAACGUGUUGUCACCAAGUUAGUUGACAUCCUCAGGGGCAACCCCUACUCCCAAUAGUUUAGAAGUUUGGGUGCCCACAAGGAAAACCUCGAGGAGUAGCGUAUAGACCUCAACAUUGACAACAAGCUAGAUCAACAGAGAUAUAAUAGACCGGUGUCAUACGAGGCAGUUGUGAUUUGGGUAGAGGGAAGCGAUCUAGAAAACAGGUUCAACCCCAGCAUUGCACUCUAUGGGGACAACAACGAGAAGCAUAGUAUACAUCCAACAGAUUGCUGCUAUGACCCGCUCUUGUAUCCCCUCUUUUUCCCAAGGGGUGAUCUUUGUUGGCAUCCAAAUAUCCCUAAGAACAAUGUCCCUUGCAAGCUUGCACAGCAACCAAGAGGGAACCACUAUAAUGAUUCAGGUUCGCCUAUUUGGUACAGUUAUAUGCAAUAAAAAAAUUGUCUAUCCGUUCCCAAAUGGUACCUAACCUUCUUAUUUCACGUCUUUCCGAAGAAGGGAAGGGCCGGUUGUGUGUCUCUGUGAGAGACUACUACUGUUACCGACUACAUACGCGCACUGCGGUAUUCAAACCCAUACUUCAUAGAGCAUGCAUGUUCCUGCAGUGGGGUGUGGACAUGCUCAUCAAGAUUGAGGGUUGUACGCUGAACUGGAUCAGGGACCACCAAUCACAGAUACGUGCCAAUCUAUAUCAAGGCGUUAUGAAUAGCAUCGCAGUUGGGGAGGUGCGAGCGAGCGCCGUUGGCAAGAGGAUGGUGCUUUCAGGGACGCAUCAAGGGGAGCAACCAAGACAUGCAGCGAAGGCAUAUGGACACCAUGGCGCUGGUGCAGACGUAUGGGAAGCCUACCAUCUUUUUGACUAUAUAUGACAUGCAAUCCUAGCUGGGAGGAGAUACUGAAUGAGCUGCUUCCUGGCCAGACAUCCCAGGACCGACCAGAUCUUGUCGCACGUGUGUUCAAGGCCAAGUUGGAGACCAUGAAAGAGAUGUUGUUCAAGAAGCACAUCAUGGGUGUUGUGGCAGCCCAUAUGCAUGUUGUCGAGUUCUAGAAGAGGGGUCUUCCAAAUGCGUACUUCCCGUGAAUCAUGAAUAGAGAUUAUAAGCUUGUGGUGCCAAAGUAGUAUGACCCCGUCAUAUCGUUAGAGCUCCCGGACAAGCAUAAGUAUCCAUAGCUCUAUGACAUGGUCGUGAAGCAUAUGAUGCACGGCCCAUGCGGUCAUCUAAAUCCCAAAAAUAUGUGCAUGCAAGAAUUGAAGUGCAAGAGCAAGUACCCACGACCAUUCAACCAGAAUACCUUACAGGGGAAGGAUUCAUACCCUGUUUAUCGACAGCGGGACGAUGGUCGUCGGGCUGAGGUCUGCCGUCAGAUUAUGGAUAACAGAUGGAUGGUACCUUACAACCCUUAUAUGUGGUGGAUGUUCAACUGCCACAUAAAUGUUGAGGUGUGCUCCAGCAUCAAGGUCGUCAAAUAGCUUUACUAAUACGUAUACAAGGGCCAUGAUUGAGCUUCAAUCAGCAUCGACCAGCCUGACAGGAAACGGGUUGUAGACGAGAUUAAAAGGUACAUCGAUGUGAGAUGGGUUACUUCAUCGGAGGCGAUGUGGAGGAUAUUCGGCUUCAACCUUUCUGAGAGUUCCCUGUUGGUCCUAUAGUUGCCGCUUCAUCUCCCUAAUAUGCAUAGUGUCACGUUCAAAGCGGGAGAGGACCUGAACGAUGUCCUCGUCCGUGAUAAUGCAUCUAAGUAAAUGUUGACAGAGUAUUUCCUCGCUAAUCAGCAGCACGUGUGAACUCGAGAUAUCUUGUACGAGGACUUCCCGGGAAGUUUCGAAUGGCAGAGAGCAAAGUAUUGGAGACCGAGACAAAAGAAACACUAACUAGGUCGAAUUGUGUGUCAGCCCAUCCAGCUGAGGGGAAGCGGUACUUUCUACGAGUGCUACUCAACCAUGUAACAGGCAAGACAUCCUUUGGGGACCUAGGGAUCAUGGAUGGUGUGCUAUGUGAUAUCUUCCCUGAGGCUGCCAAGAGAUAAGGCCUCAUCGAGGCUGACAACACACUUGACGAGUGUCUUCUAGAGUCAACAGAGUUUGCGACGCAAGCCUCACUCGGGAGGCUCUUUGCAACAAUCUUGGUACUCUGGGAGCCAGGUGACGUGUGUUGUCUAUGUGAUAGGCACCUAGAGGUGAUGUUUGAUGACUACCAUCGAUCACACAUGUGCUCAAAGGCAGUGCAGCAGAUGGUGUUUCUAGACAUCAGGGGCAUGCUACGGUCAAUGGGCAAAGACAUGGCAUUGUUCCCUCUUCCAGACAUUGACAGGACCUAUGACACUACUCGAUGCGAGGCAAGAGAAGUCAUAGAGGAGUCCAACAUCGAGGUUGACACGAUGGACGCUGCUAUAGCGUCCUCGCUAAAUCCUGAGCAGAGGCUCGCAUACGAUAAGAUCCUGGCAGCAGUACAUGCCGGUGAUGGGGGUGUAUUCUUUGUUGAUGGCCAGGGAGGCACCGGGAAGACCUUUCUAUACAUGGCAGUGCUCGCAAAGGUUCGAGGGGAGGGCAAGAGCGCGGUAGCAAUAGCGACGUCGAGCGUCGCGGCUUUCAUCAUGCGUGGAGGCAGGACGACCCACUCGAGGUUCAAGAUCCCACUCGGCAUUGAAGAUGAGGCAUCGUGCAGCUUCACCAAGCAAAGUGGGACGGCCAAGCUUGUGCAUGUUUUCCCUCAUCCUACGGACGAGAUCACCAUGACGAAGCAGAAAGCUAUUGAGGCAUUGGACAAUAGCAUGUGGGACAUCGUGAGGCGACGACACCGACCAUUCAGGGGGAAAACUGUCGUGUUCUGUGGGGACUUCAAGCAGGUGCUUCCGGUUGUCACGAAGGCGUCACGGGGUCAAAAAAUCGAUGCGACCAUGCGGAGUUCAUACCUUUGGAAGGGUAUGCGCCAGCUAAGGCUCGUCAUGAACAUGAGAGCGCAUAACGUCCCAUGGUUCGUAGAUUACUUGCUAAGGGUAGGCAUCGGCAUCGAAGAAACUGAUGAGGAAGGCAACAUAAGGCUCCCUGAAGAUAUUUGUGUGCCGCCAACAGGAAACGGUGUUGACCUAGAGAAGGUAAUCGACCAUGUAUUUCCUGGUCUAGACCACAACAUGGCUGAUCGAAAUUACAUGACAUCUCGAGUGAUCCUCUCCACCAAGAAUGACAACGUCGAUAAGAUAAACACGCGCAUGAAGAGCGCUUCUAGGUCGAGGAGAAGAUCUACCACAAUUUUGAUAGUGCAGAGGAUAAUCCAUGCAGCUACUAUGCCCGUGAGUUCCUCAACAACCUAACUCUCAACGGGCUGCCUCCACAUGCACUCAAACUAAAGAUAAAUUGCCACAUUAUACUAUUGAGAAACAUUGAUCCAACUAAUGCAUUGUGUAACGGCACAAGGCUUGUGCUUCGGGGUUUCCAAAGGAACGCCAUCGACGCAAAAUCAUUCUAGGACAUCAUGCUAGUAGGAGGGUGUUCCUUCCUGAGAUACCUCUGUGUCCAUCCGAUGAUAAUAUAUAUCCUUUCAAGUUCAAGAGGAAGGAGUUCCCUAUUAGGCUUAGAUUUGCCAUGACGAUCAACAAGGCACAAGGACAGACCAUACCGAUUGUUGGGGUGUACCUAAUGGACCCGAUUUUCUCUCACGGUCAGCUCUAGGUUGCAUUGUCUAGAGCCACCGCAAAGAGGAACGCUAAGAUUCUCGCCAUCAAGGACGACGAUGUGGGUAAAGGCUAGGGUAAGGGCAAGGAACAAAGCAAGAAUUCAAAGAAGCGAAAAAGAACUGAGUCCUUAUUAAGGACCGUGAAGAACAUAGUCUACAAGGAAGUCCUAAGCACAUAAAGUCACUGGAUCAAAUUAUAGCAACUCAGGGUAAAGUAUGUUCAAUUCUGCACUACAACCACAUAACUAUUGUAAAUCUUAAUGCACACUAAACUGUGUUUUUUGAUGUGUAGUACUCGAGGGAGCAUUGUCAAUCUUUAGGAACCAUGUGUAUUCCUUCCGCCACAUCUGCCCAUCCUAUACUUGGUCAAAGUUGGACAUGUUUAAGCUGGAAAUAACAAGAGACCACGUGAAAAUUCAAAUAAAUGCAUGAGGAAGAUGCAUGGACAGUGACUUGGUAAAUAAGAACAAAAAUACUAAGGUGUAGUAUUUCUUUCUAAGGCAUAUGCUUUUUAAUAUGGUAAAAACCUGAGGCAUCUAAUAUCAUAUAUAUAGCAAUAAAAAAAUUGACUACGAGCUGAGUUUGCCAUAAGUGAGCUCCUCAUGUCACUACUAUCUCUACUAUCAAAAGAUGACACUCAAGUCAAUAGAUACAAAGGAACAUAAUAUGUUCAUCUGCUUUUUUCCGUAGCUCUGUGCUAAGAUUUAGCACGCAGGUGUGUCCUUCAAUUUUAACUCAUUCUUGAACAUCAAUUUCAGGCCUCAAAAUUCAUUGCUGAAGGUGAUUCCAAAGUGCCAUCUACAUGAUUAGAAACAUCAACCCUUAAUCUAUUCAGCAAUAGUGUUCUAGUGACUGGUGAAUGAGUCAUAUUAGAACCUAAAUACAAUCACCGCUAACCUACAAAAUGGCAAGGAGAUCAGAAUGGAAGCUCUGGCAAAUUACCAUUAUAGAGCGUUCUACUGAGCUUAUUUGCCAAAAGAUGCAGACCUAGCUUUGUAGUCGUUUUUUACAUUUGGUACAUCACUAUGAUUGUCACCAUUGGAGAGUACUGACUUUUAUGUCAGGUUACCUUGCUUCAAUCUGUAUGAUUAUCCUGAUGUGUUUUUCUCUGUUGAAAUGCAUUGUGCGUGUGUACCCUUGUUAUCUCCUGGCCAUUAUCCUGCCUUUGCCUGAUUGAAGCAUACGUGAUUUGCUUGAUCCGAUCGAUACUCACCCAUGCCUUUUGGAUUAGGAACGACUAAAAUGGUUUAUAGAAUAACUUCAACGCCACUUUACCUGUUCUAUUAAAAUCAAGUUUUAAUGAUUAUGUCCCUAAAACAACUAUACGUUUAUUACACUAACUACUUUCAGUUGGUUAGCCCUUUAAGUGAGUUUAUGGGAAAUGGAUGUGGCAAAAACUCCGAAUCCAAACAACAUACUCCUAACUGCAUAUCGAUACUACUCAUCUAGCUAGCCUUCAAACCAUGUAUGUAUAAGAGAGACUCAAUCUAUCAUCAAUAUGUUUGCUUACCUCCAGCGGCGAUUCCUCUAGGUGGGCUUCAAUAGGCUGAAGCUUACUCUUCAAAACUCCUAUUUCAGCUAGAUAUACUACUUGACAAUCAUACCAAGGUGUUUACCAUGUAAAUUGCAAUGCAUUUGCUAAUUAAGCUUGGAAACUUGAUGUUUUAAGCCUACGUACCCUUCAGUUCCAUGCUAAAUUCGCCACUGCUUACCUCCAAGAUCGAACUUCACCAGCGGUGCCAAUCCAAUAGAGCUACCAAUGAUGGACGCGGAGGGAGAGAGGAGAGCCGUCCGUGACAAGGUAAGAUUCGUUCCUGGUCGAUCUCCGCCCAACCGGGCAAGCACGGUUUGCUGCAGGGUCUCCUCGCAUUGCACGGCUUGCGUUAGUCGCCAGGCGUUGCGAGCAGAAGAUUACGACCGGCCUGGCGCCACGCGGCAGGGGGCGGCGGGGCGCGGGGCAAAGGGCGCCGCGCGGUGGAUGUCGCCGAUUGUGCUCGUCCGUUAGAGCGCUGCCCCCCGGAUCUCGCCGGACAGCAUGGAGUGGUGCGGGUGGGUGUGGGAGGCUCGCGACGACACAGCCACGCGGUAGGGAUGGUACGGAGGCGGGGGUUGCGAAGUUCGUCCGGGAUGGGUUACUCGCAGCAUCGCACGGUGUGCGGAUGCGCGCCGGCGGCAACACAAAGGAGCUGGAUGAGUGGCUAGCACAGGGAAGGGGGCGGAAUGAGUGAUGAGGAGAAAGUGAGACCGGACCUCUGUAAAAGGGAUGAUUGGCUGUGAACGAGCAGACCAACUUUACGUGAUUUUUUUCAUGAAAAAAGGAACAUACAAGGGUGUGGAACUGUACGUGAUUUUUUGCCCAUAGCAGUCGAGCUGUACGUGAUUGGACCAUAAAAGUUCAGCAACCGUUGGUCGUAAGUGCAGUAGUUUCGGUACUAGAAUUGUUUUUUUGUCACAAGGCUCCAUAUCGGACAGGGCUGGAGUAUAUAUUAUAGCAUAAUAAGCGAGGUAUUUAGGGAGUGUGUCAUGGCUAUCAAACUUAUUAGAUGUCUGUCUUUUUAUUCUUUUAUUUUGCAAGUUAUAUAUGAAUUAUGAUACUAUUAUCUAAAAAAAAAUUGAUACUAUAUUUAAAUCAUAUUCUGUAUAUAUUUCACUUCUGCAGAAUGAGCCAGUCAUAGAUACGAACAUUGUUGACUGUCAAAAAGAACCUACCAACAGAGCGCGAUAGACAUAGACAUCGUGGACAAUAAAAAAGAACCUACCGAUUAGAGCCUGAAAAAUUGAUACUAUAUUUAAAUCAUAUCCUAUCUGUAUUUCAGUUUUACAGAAUGUGUCAAUCAUAGAUACGGAUAUUGUUGACCAACAGAAAGAACCUACCAACAGGAUCCAAGAGACAAUAGAUAUGGAUGAGGGAGGCCAGGACUAAGGGCUCCUCGGACCUCUGGCGUAUCUUUAUGAGUCGGACUCCUGGGCUUCUUCGGGCUGGAGAUGACAUGUACAAGGAAGAUUCCACAAGACCUGGUCAUCAAGACAAGGACUCCUCUACACCGACAUAGCCGACUAGGACUCUUGUUAUCCUAGGACUAUGGUGCAUUAUAUAAACCGAGGCCACGCUAGUCGAUAGACAAUCUCAUAUUCAAAUGAUCAUUACUCUUAGGGUUUAGGCCACAACAUCCGAUCUCGUAAUAGAUCAACUCUGUAAUUUGUAACAACAAGAGCAUGACGUAGGUUUUAGCUCCAUCAAGAGGGCCCCAACCUGGAUAAAACACCGUCUUCUUCGUCUCUUGUUCCCCAUCGACCUUAGAUCCACAGUUCAGUUUCGCUACUCGAUAUCAGCCGGUUUUGGCACCGACAUUGGUGCUUUCACUCAGAGUUUCAUGGCUCGUCUUCAGAUUACAGUUUUUCUGGACAACGAUUUUGUGUUCGUCGUCCCUGUUUCAUCGAGCGUCGCUUUGACGAUUGCUUUGGUGGAAUUGUGUGAAAUUAUAUCUACAACAACUCUGCAAAAUUUCACCACAUUCCGAUUGAGGAAUCUCCGGCAAUCUCCGAUAUACCGGAGCCAUGUCAAGUCUUGAUGCGAAUCUCGAUGAGUUUAUGGCGAGGGUCCAGCGUCCAGCUUGGACAUCAUUUGGAAAAUCCCACAGUUCAACGGAUGUGGAAUUCCUAUAUCGAUCACCACUCAAAAUUUCAUCUCGAUCCGACUAUUCAAACUUCGGUAAAUGUUCGAUGAGUGCAUCCAUUUUUCAGAUCAAUUUUCGUUGCGAAAACAAAUCCGCCCUAGUUCAUCUUUCUUCAUGAACGGGGUUUUGAACAUCCUAUUUGAAGGAAUUUUUAAGAAGGUAUUAUGCGUUAUUCUAAAACAUAUGCCCAUAAAUUUUGGGCAUUUUCCAAGGCAAUCUUCACCGUCACGCUGGUGUCAAACCAACCCGACAAUGUUGCUCCAUGGCUUCCGAGUUGUGCCAGCAUCGACUCCGUUGUCGCUCUAUCGAGCCAACGACAACCAUCUCGGAUCAUCAUUUCGGUCAGCCGACCAAGAGUCCGGCAUCACGAGGGAUGAAUAACCAUUAAGAGAACCUCGUCACCCAUGGGUUGCACGGGUCGGGCGCGUUGUUGCUUCAUCAUGCUAGCAUUGACUGCGUCACAAAAUCUGACCGGAGUUAGCAUUGCCGCGCCGUCGCUUUUUUCAAUCCAACUUUUAACAGACCGACCUUCUUCGGCAUGUCGGCUGGAAUGAGGGCUCGAAAGUCACCAUACCGAUCUGCUCGGUUAGCUUGGCUAGACCGGGGAUUUCGCCAUCUCUUCAUCAACCAGCUCCGUGGACUUCAACGUCACCAGCCAGCCAGCUUCAUCAUGUUAGCUGGACCGGGGACUUCGCCUUAUCACAUCGAUCGUCCUGCAUUGUCACUUCGUCAAGCCGAGAUCUUCGCUCGGGCACCUCGAGACCGGCUUGGGGGCUGGGACCUCGACCUGCCAAAAGCCCGACCCUCGUCAUUAACACCGAGAACAUUAACCGGCUAAGUCACUUUCAUGCUCAAUUUUUUCAAUUUUGAAUUUUUGUGCGGUUCAAUCAGUCAUUGUAUUUGUGUUAACAAAAAAGUUGUUUGUUUAAAACAUAGCUUGUUAAGAGCAUUGUUUGUUAAAUAUACUUUCUUUACCCAUGUUACCUGGGGGCUUUUAAAUUUAUAUGAGUUGUUUUAUAAUAAGUGUUUUCUUCUUGGUCGUUGCAAAGUCUUUUUCUACCGCUCCUUUCUCGACUCGAUUGUUCGGUCAAUAGUCGGAUUGCCUGGUUUCUUUCUAAAGCUGCUCGAGUUUAAUUUGCUAAACUCGCCUCGAAGAAACACUCCGCGUCCGGGAUAUGGAGGUUGAAGCCGAAGGCUGACACGCUUGAAAUCUUGAGCUCGGAUGUGGCAUGUUAAAGCAUGACGGAAGCAAAAAAUUAAUUUUAAGACCACUUUUCGGAUUGGCACCAAGAAAUUUGAUUUAGUACUAUGUAAAGUUUUUGCUAAAGUUUUUGGGUUUUCCAAGCUUAUGGCGCCUUUAACCUAUUGUAUGUUUUUUUUUCAGGAGGCGGGACAUCCUCUUGUUCGAGGUGUUCAGCGUGGUAGUUCUGCUCGGGAAAUCUUUUGCAACCCGCAGUUCGACAUCUUUCCUGUCGAUCUGUACUUCGGCGUUGUACAUAACAAGUGUCGAAUAGUUUUCGAGGAGAUUAUGAUCCUGAGGUUGGUCGCGUGCACCCAACCUGAGUCUCGAGGACUACGCACAUUGUGUUUCCGUUCCUAAGUAUGCCGCCGAGCUAGGAGUUGAUCCCCAGGCCGAUUUCACGAAUCGACCUGGGUCUCAGGGGCUACUGGGAUCAGAUGUUUUUAUCCUUCAGGUGCAUCCCGGGUUUUAGACAAACACGCACCUCGAGGGCUACUGGCUAUAUAUCUCGAUAGUAAUUGAAUUGCACUGAUCCCUAAUACGUCUCCGUCGUAUCUACUUUUCCGAACUCUUUUGCCCUUGUUUUGGACUCUAAUUUUGCAUGAUUUGAAUGGAACUAACCCGGACUGACGUUGUUUUCAGCAGAAUUGCCAUGGUGUUGUUUUUGUGCAGAAAUAAAAGUUCUCAGAAUGUCCUGAAAAUUUACGGAGAUUUUUCUGGAAGAAAAGAAAAAUACGAGCGCAAAGAUCCACCGGAGGGGGCGUGCCAGUGGGCCAUAAGCCCACAGGCCCACCCCCUAGGCCGCGCCGUGCAGGAUUGUGGGGCCCACGUGGCACCACCGCCCCCAUACUCAGCUCUAUAUCUUCCGUCUCGCCCGGAAAAAAAAUCAGAGAGAAGGUUUCAUCGCGUUUUGUGAUACGGAGGCGCCGCCACAUUCUGUUCUUCAUCUGGAGGGCAGAUCUGGAGUCCGUUUCGGGCUCUGGAGAGGGGAAAUCGUCGCAAUUCCAUGAUGCUAUUCAUGAUGCUCUUCAUCGUUCUCCAUCGACAAUUCCAUGAUGCUCUUCAUCGUUCGUGAGUAAUCUCAUGUAGGCUUGCUGGACGGUGAUGAGUUGGAUGAAAUCUAUCAUGUAAUCGAGUUAGUUCUUGACAGGGAUUGAUCCCUAGUAUCCACUGUGUUCUAGAUUGAUGUUGCUACUACUUGGCUAUGCUUAAUGCUUGUCACUAGGGCCCGAGUGCCAUGAUUUUAGAUCUGAACCUAUUAUGUUGUCGCCAAUAUAUGUGUGUUUUAGAUCCUAUCUUGCAAGUUGUAGUCACCUACUAUGUGUUAUGACCCGGCAACCCCGGAGUGACAAUAGCCGGAACCACUCCCGGAGAUGACCAUAGCAUGAGGAGUUCAUGUAUUCACCACGUGUUAAUGCGUUGGUCCGGUUCUUUAUUAAAAGGAGAACCUUAAUAUCCCGUAGUUUCCAUUAGGACCCCGCUGCCACGGGAGGGAUGGACAAUAGAUGUCAUGCAAGUUCUUUUCCCUAAGCACGUAUGACUACAUACGGAAUACAUGCCUACAUUAGAUUGACGAACGGGAGCUAGUUACUUAUCUCUCCGUGUUAUAGCUGUUAAAUGAUGAAUCAUAUCCGUCACACUCAUCCAUCACCGAUCCACUGCCUACGAGUCUUUUACUACUGGUCCUCGCUACGUUACUUUGCCUAGGCUUGUCCCUUGCUACAAAAGGGAUUGGGCCACUUUGCUGCUACUAUUGCUACUGUUGUUACUCUGCUACUGAUGUUCCUUGCUGCUUCGCUGUUACUUGUUGCAGACUUUUCUGGAGCCGUUGCCUGGGAAGAAUAGUUCCCCGUUCACGUGCUCUUUAUUGGCACCAUUGAUACAACUGUUAGGAAUAGUCUGCCGUCAACAGAUCGUUUCUGGCACCGUUGCUAUCAUAAUACUUUGCUACUGAUACUUUGCUUGCAGACAAUAAUCUUUCAGGUGUGGUUGAAUCUGACACAUUCAGCUGCUAAUACUUGAGAAUAUUCUUUCGCUUCCCGUCUUGGCGAAUCAACAAAUUUGGGUUGAAUACUCUACCCUCGAAAACUGUUGCGAUCCCAUACGCUUGUGGAUCAUCAAGGCUCUUUCUGGCGCCGUUGCCGGGUAAGCACAGCUAUAUUCUCUGAGUCACUUGGGAUUGACGUCUGCUGAUCACUAUGAGGAAUCCGAAAGAUCCAAGAACUAAAAUCCUACCUUCCACUACAAGGAGAGGUAAGGAACUGCCAUUUAGCUCUGCACUUGAUUCACCUUCAGUUUUGAGUAAGUUUGCGACUUCGCCUCCUACUAGAAAUCUUGAUAUUUCGCAUGUGCUUGAUGAUGCUACUUCUGCUGCCCAUGAUACUUAUGAUGCUAUGCUUGAUACUAUGCCUAAUGAUGUUAUGCUUGAUACUAUGUCUGCUAUGCCUGAUACUGCUUUGCCACUUGGUGCAUUCCUUGAUGCACAUAUUGCUAGAGCUGCUGCUAGAUGUGAUGAUACUUCUCAAACUGUUGAUACUAUUGAAGUAGAACAUGCUACUAUGCCUGAAUUGCCUGUCAUGCCUGAUACGCGCUAUGUUAUGGAGGGAGAGAUAGCUGAGGAUUUUCUUGCGUGUAAGGAUAGCUAUGAUGUUGAGAAACUUCUGCGCAAGUGGAAAGAAAAAUCUCUCAACGCUAGGAUGAAAUACGACCCGAAGUUUGCUACAUCUCAUAUCUUUGUGACCGAUAAGGAUUAUAAAUUCUCUCUCGACCCUGAGUUAAUCACUCUUGUCGAAUUUGGUCCCUUUCACGGUUAGGAGUCUGAAACGGUUGUAGCCCAUAUUACCAAACUGCACGAUAUAGCCACCCUAUUCACUAGUGAGGAAAAGAUCCGCCACUACUAUAUGCUCAAGCUGUUUCCUUUCUCGCUAAAGGAUGAUGCUAAGACCUGGUUCACUUCUCUUGCUCCUGGUUGUGUGCGUAGCCCCCAGGAUAUGGUCUACUACUUCUCUGAAAAAUAUUUCCCUGCCCAUAAGAAGCAAGUUGCCUUGCAGGAAAUAUACAACUUUGCUCAAGCUGAAAAAGAGAAUCUCCCACAAGCUUGGGGGAGGCUCGUCCAGCUACUGAAUGGUUUGCGUGAUCACCCUCUUGAGAAGAAUGAAAUACUUGAUAUCUUCUAUAAUGGACUUGCCGAUGCUUCUAGAGACCACCUAGAUAGUUGUACUGGUUGUGAUUUUAGGGAACGAACCGUAGAACAAGCUGAGAUUCUACUGAAUAAUAUCUUGUGCAAUGAGAAUGCUUGGACUAUUCCCGAACCACCUCCUAAGCCAACUCUGAAGAAAAGAGGUAUUCUAUUCCUCAGUCCUGAAGAUAUGCAAGAAGCCAAGAAAUCUAUGCGAGAGAAAGGCAUUAAAUCUGAAGAUGUCAAAAAUCUACCACCUAUCGAAGAGAUCCAUGGUCUCGAUAACCCAAUACAGGUAGUAGAAGUAAAUUCUCUGCGUAGGUUUGAUGAGAGUGAUAUUCCUUUUGAUAAACCUGCUAGCUUAUGCCUGGAUGAAUUUGAUAACUUUGUUGCCAAACAACAGAGUUUCAAUGAUUAUGUUAGCAGACAAUUGGAAAAGAAUGCUCGUAUGCUUAGUCAUUUAAGUGCUUGUGUGGACAGAAAUGUCAAUGAUCUUAAGCUCCUCAGUAAACAUGCCUCUAUGGUUACUACUCAGGUAGAACAAGUACUUAAAGCUUAGAAUGACUUGCUCAAUGAGUUGAAUGACAAUUCUGUCAGAGUCGUUACUAGAGGCGGUAGAAUGACCCAAGAACCUUUGUAUCCUGAGGGUCAUCCAAAGAGAGUAGAACAAGAGUCUCAAGGAGUUAGCACUAAUGCACCUAGUCAUCCUAGAAAGAAGAAGAAAGAUGAUAGGAACCUGCAUGCUAGCAACCCUGUUGCUGCUACACCUGAGAGUCCAAACGAUGCCUCUGUCUAUGAUGCUGAGACACAAUCUGGUGAUGAACAUGAGCCUAAUGAUAAUAUCAUAGUGAUGUUCAUGUUGAUGCUCAACCUAGCAAUGAAAAGGAUGUGGAGAUUGAACCUAUUGAUCUUGAUAACCCACAGCCUAAGAAUAAGAGAUAUGAUAAGAAUGACUUCACUGCUAGGAAGCACGGUAAAGAAAGGGAACCGUGGGUUCAGAAACCCAUGCCCUUUCCUCCCAAACCAUCCAAGAAAAAGGAUGAUGAGGAUUUUGAGCGAUUCGUUGAAAUGAUCAGACCUGUCUUUCUGCAAAUGCGUUUAACGGAUAUGCUCAAGAUGUCUCCGUAUGCUAAGUACAUGAAAGAUAUUGUGACUAAUAAGAGGAGGAUACCUGAUCUUGAGAUCUCCGUCAUGCUUGCUAAUUAUACCUUCAAGGGUGGAACUCCUAAGAAACUAGGUGAUCCAGGUGUGCCCACUAUACCUUGCUCCAUUAAAGGCAACUACAUUAGAACUGCGUUAUGCGACCUUGGAGCCGGUGUUAGUGUUAUGCAUCUCUCUCUUUAUCGUAGACUUGAACUGGAUAAGUUGACACCCACUAAAAUCUUUCUGCAAAAGGCCGACAAAUCAACUGCUUUCCCUAUCGGCAUUUGCCAGGAUGUGCCUGUUGUGGUUGCUAACACCACUAUCUUAACAGACUUUGUUAUCUUGCAUAUUCCUGAGGACGAUGCCAUGGUUGUCAUCGUCGGAAGACCCUUUUUAAACACUGCAGGGGUUGUUAUAGACUGCAACAAAGGCAAUGUCACUUUCCAUGUCAACGGUAAUGAGCAUACGGUGCACUUUCUGAAGAAACAAUAUCGAGUACAUUGCAUCAAUGAUAUCGAAAAAACUUCAUCGAUUCUUAUCGGGAGCUUUGAAUGCCCUAUUCCUCGUGUCAAGAUGAAGUAUGAUUUGCUUGUUGGGGAGAUACACAUCCCCAUUGAGGUGACUUAGUGACUAUUUGAGAAUUCUCCGCUCUCUUUUGCGAUUCGAAAAGGUUUGUCGAGGAGACUUGAUCGACCUCAUUGACGGAUUUUCUUUCGAUGACCAUGAGAUGGAUGAAUCGAGGAGUCACAAACCUGUGUUCCAAGCUUUCACUUUGGGUUGCUUAGAAGAAAAAUGAUAGGCUUAGAUUAGUUUUCCAUGUUUUCUGUUUUAGCAUCCGGUAGAAAAGUACCCCAAAAAUAAAAGUUCUCCGAACGUCCUGAAAAUCUAGUAUGAUUUUUUCUGGAUUUUUUGAAAAAUACAGGGACAAAGAGUCUGUCUAGGGGCCACACCAGUGGGCCACAAGCCCUAGGGGCGCGGGCACCCCUGGCUACGCCACCCAGGCUUGUGGGGCCCACAUGCACCCCCUCCACUCCUUCUUGCUCUUAUCUCCUUCUCCUACCUCGAGAAAAAAUUGUUUCGCAGCUCAAACCCGUGUUCUUGCUCCUCUUGCUGGGAUUUUCGAUCUCUUUGCUCAAAUCACCGUUCUCCGAACUGUUUUGGGGAAAUUACUCCUUGGUAAAUGACUCAUCCAUUGGUCCAAUUAGUUAUUUCUCUAGUGCCUUAUACUCCGCGUAUCUUUGCUGCCUUGGUGACCAUGUUCUUGAGCUUUGCAUGCUAAUUCUAGCUGGUCCCAAGUAGUUUUCAUGCGUAAUAUGGUCUCUAGGCACUUGUUGGAGUAGUUGCCAUGAGUUUCGUUGAGCCUUAUUCACUUUUCCUUAGAGUCACUAAAAAUUUCAGAAAUUUUCAGAGAUAGAAAAGGGAAAAGAUGAGGAGGUUCUUGAGAGGCUCUUCUAGCCGUGACCCCAAGGAUGAUGGGAGUGAGAAGAAGCCCAAGUAUCAGGUACCUCGAGUCGCAGAAGUUUGAGCGUGCGAGUGUGUCGUGGUUUUGUCACGGCAGAUGUCCUCGUGAAAGGACUUAGUACUGGAGCCAUCGCACCUUGGUGGCGACUCAAAGGGGUUAAACGGGAGGAACACGACGAUUUACCCAGGUUCGGCCCCUCGAGAGGAGGUAAUAGCCUACGUCCUGCUUUGUGUGUAUUGAUGUGGAUUCGAUUACAAGGGAGGCGUAACUCGCCUAACCUAGCACUCGAUGAUUUUCUACCUCCCUCUCCUCCUUAGGACUCGCCUGCGCACGGUGGAGUUGAGUUCUCAAAGGGAGCCCUACCAGGGUUUGGGAGUUACGCGACGGCGCUCAUGUCCCGGAGCCGCCGCGGGAUAAUCUACAUCGACAACCAGCUAUGGGGACCCGAAGCAAAUUCGAUCGAAUCUGGCUACAGGGUCCCCUUCGGCGGAAUCAACAUCUUCAUCGGCAUGAUCGGAUCACCCGUCCCUGAGCCGGACAUCUCCACCGACAUCGUCGAGCCGGCCAGGUACGUCCGCCCAGUUAUAACACGAAACUUAACUCGCCCGGUCUUUGUGGGGUUCACGCAGGGAUCGGAGGAGCCAGAGCACCCAGCGAGUCAGGAGAUUACCCCGAUCAACUCGGACGACGAAUCAUCCAUGGGCGACUCAGAUUCUAUCCGGUCCCUCCACGGGGACGGCCUCGGAGGCUUAUCUCUGGCCAUGGAUCCGGAGGUGCUUGACCGAACCCGCCGCCAGAUCGCCAUCUACAUGGCCGGAGCGACUCAGCCGACACAAAACCCCACUGGAGGCGCUGGGACUGGCGAAGCGUCCAGAAGCCCAGUCGCAGUCCUGGCGGAUUUAGCAGCACAGAUCACGAGACUAACGGCGACUCCCCUCACGCCGGAGAACCAAGAAGAGAUAAACACAGAGUUAGCAAAGCUCAGAGAGGCGGUGGCUAAAACCCACCGGGAUGCUGAGGUGGAGUCCGCCAGAAUCGAGACUCGGCAAGCCCAAAUUACGGCCGAAAGGAUGCGUUUAAACACCGACCAUUGGCGACUCGAAAGACAGCAGCGCGCGUCCAAUGCCGUCCAUCAGAGAAGACACCAGGGGCGCCUGCCUCACGACCUCAAUCCGACCCGUCUGUUCGAUACUCCACGAACCCCCGGGGUAGUAGCCGCCCCAGCAGGAGGACAGGGUCACCCACCUAACCCGCCGGAUCAUCCGACCGAGGGCCAGAUUCCCCGUUUCCGGAUGCCCCAAGGCCACUUCUCCAAUCCGGUGGAUAAUGUGCUUGCCGCAACUCGCCACCUGGAGUCUCUCCCGAUUCACGGCAACACCCCAGCUAAGAUAGAAGCAAGGAAUGCCAUCGAGAUGUUGAAGACAGCGGUGGUUCAAAACGCACAGUUCUCACACAGCCUUGAGAGAUUGCACUCCACCCCUCAGGCGAGCUAUACCAGGAGUAGGCCGGAGGAUCAGCCAGCCGUAAACAGUGGCCCGCGACACUUCCCGCAGGACAACCCGCCCAAGCGGAACCCGCCGGGCAGAGAUCUCCCCAACAUUCAAGACGCCCAGGCCCCCCUCGCAGGGACCGGAGGGCGAGUUGGGGUACCGUGCUUGUCCCUAGCCCUUCGGAACGAAAGAAUGCCCAAGGAUUUUAAAGGACCAAGAAAGGUGCCUAAUUAUACACCAGAUCUCGAACCAACAUCAUGGAUCGAGGGCUAUGAGAUUGCCAUGGACAUGCUCGACGUAAAUGAGGCGGUUUGCGCCAGAUAUUUCACCAUGAUGCUCGAGGGGUCGGCGCGCACUUGGCUAAAAAACUUACCUCCCAAUUCUAUCCAGUCCUGGGCCGAGCUGAAAGAGCGUUUCAUCAAAAACUUCCGGGGAACCUGUAAACGACCGAUGACGAUCGUCGACUUACAAAACUGCGUACAACGCCCGGAUGAGUCGGCACACCAUUGGUCACGGCGGGUCGCAGAAAUUAUUCAUUCGUCAGAUGGUAUCACGGCAGCACAAGCUGUGCUUAUCCUCGAACACAACUGCCACUAUGAACCGUUGGUCCAGAAAUUGGGGCGACUCAAACGGAAAGUUCAGGACAUGGGCGAACUGAUGGACACCCUCACUAGGUAUGCCGAGGCCGGUGAUACCAAGGAUCCCGGCGAGGAUGGUAAGGGUAACUCGCCCAAAAAGGGCGAUUCGACAAAAAAUCACACCCGUUUCCAGGGCCGCAACCGUCACAAUCAGGGGACCAACGGCAAGCGUAGGCCACAGGAGGAGCCCUCGGACUUGGUUGCAAACACCAAUGCCAAUGACGACAAAAAGAAGAAUCGAGGUUUCAGUGGGAAAAGGCCGUGUAACUAUGAAGAGCUACUCAAAGGCCCUUGCCCACACCACGCCACGGCCGACGGCCCGGCGGGCCACUCUUGGGAGAACUGUUUCAUGAUGCGAGAAUUUCGGGCGGAGGCAAUCAAGAAGAGCCAAAACGAAGAUCCGAACCGGCGCCAGGACCAACUCGCCGCGUCCAACCAAAGGCAGAACCCCUUCGGCGGCUUUCCUGAACAGGGGGCUCAGGGAGGCCCGCCACCAGGCGGCGGCCAGUACCCGGUGCACCACCAGCGGCGGUACAACCCGCCGGGAGUUUUCCAGCAGCCGCCCUCAUAGGGGGCUCCACAGGACCAGGAUGACAAUGGGGGCUUCCGCAGCAAUCCCAAACAGCUAAGUAAUGGGCAGUACCACGUUUUCACCACUAAUGCUUGCAGGCGGGAUAAAAAGGUAAAUCACCGGGCGUACAGUGUAACUGAGCCAGCGAUUCCCAGAUAUCUCCACUGGUCCGAGCAGACCAUAACAUGGAGCAGAGAGGAUCACCCGCCAAGAAUAGGUAACCCGGGCGACCUGGCAUUAGUCGUGGCUCCCCAAGUGGGGGGUUACACCCUGUCAAAUGUAUUAAUGGAUGGUGGCAGCAGCAUUAAUAUCCUAUACUUCGACACCUUCCGGAGGAUGAAUCUAUUGGAGAAAGACUUGAUGCCUUCAACCACGGUUUUCCAUGGCAUUGUCCCGGGCAAGUCGGCUUAUCCCAUAGGCCGGGUCAGGCUCUCAGUAGCAUUUGGAACUGCGCAGAAUUACAGGUCGGAGUCUCUAAUCUUCGAGGUGGUCAAGCUGAAAAGCCCGUACCAUGCGCUGUUCGGGCGACCGGCUUACGCCCGCUUCAUGGCCCGUCCGUGCUACGUCUACCUCAAGCUCAAAAUGCCUGGUCCUAAAGGACCCAUCACGGUUGAUGGAGAUAGAAAAAUCGCAAAGGAGUGUGAGGAAGGGGACGCGGCUUAUGCGGAAGUCGCCUGUGCGGCAGAAGAGCUCAAACAUCACCCGGCCAAUGUUGACCCGGCAGACAUGUCACCACUCAAGAAGCCGACUACAGAUUCUGAGUCGCCCCUCAAGUUCAAACCGACGGAUGAUACUAAGACAAUCGAUUUCAUGCCUGGCGAUUCAUCCAAGCAGUUCACCAUUGGGACGGGUCUGGACCCCAAAUAGGAAAGCGCUCAUCGAAUUCAUCUGUGAGAAUCGGGACAUCUUUGCAUGGAAGCCCUCUGACAUGUCGGGUGUACCGAGAGAAUUCGCUGAGCACCAUCUUAAUGUUGACCCAAAAUGCAAACCUGCCCAACAGUACCUUCGCAGAUUUAACGAGGAGCGAUGCAAGGCGAUUGGAGAAGAAGUCGCCCGUCUUUUAGCCGCCGGGUUCAUCGUGGAAGUUUUUCACCCCAAAUGGCUGGCUAACCCGGUGUUAGUACUCAAGAAGAAUGGCACUUUCUGUAUGUGUAUUGACUAUACGGAUCUCAACAGAGCUUGUCCCAAAGAUCCUUUCGCUCUUCCCCGCAUCGAUCAAAUCAUUGACUCGGUGGCGGGAUGCGAACGAUUGUGCUUUUUGGACGCCUAUUCAGGUUAUCAUCAGAUCAAGAUGGCCGUGGAAGAUCAGGAGAAGACGGCCUUCAUAACCCCCUUCGGGGCCUUUUGCUAUGUGGCCAUGCUGUUCGGACUCAAGAGCGCAGGGGCGACUUAUCAACGCUGCAUCCAGAAUUGUCUUCAUAACCAAAUUGGCCGCAACGUCCAUGCUUACGUCGACGACAUUGUGAUAAAGACCCGCCAGGGGGAGACACUUUUGGAAGACCUUAAGGAAACCUUUGAUAAUUUACGAGUAUAUCAGAUGAAGCUAAAUCCUACCAAGUGCGUUUUUGGUGUACCUGCAGGAAAAUUACUGGGUUUCUUGGUAUCGGAGUGCGGCAUCGAGGCUAACCCGGACAAAAUUGAAGCGGUUACCUCUCUCGGGAAGCCGACGAAUGUUAAUCAAGUUCAGCGACUGGCGGGCCGCAUUGCGGCUCUAAGUCGUUUCGUGAGCCGCCUUGGGGAAAAGGUGAUUCCUCUUUAUCAAUUGUUGAGGAAAUCCGACCGAUUCGUAUGGACAGAUGAGGCAGACGAGGCGCUUUAGGCCUUGAAACAUCAAUUGGUUAACCCGCCGGUCCUGGCAGCCCCAACUGAAAAGGAGCCUAUGCUCCUCUAUAUCGCGGCAAAUUCCAAGGCAGUCAGCGUGGCUGUGGUCGUCGAAAGAAAGGAGGAAGGAAAGGAAUACCCGAUGCAACGUCCGGUAUAUUUUAUCAGUGAGGUGUUAACUCUUUCCAAACAGUGAUACCCCCAUUGGCAAAAACUGGUCUAUGGGGUGUUUAUGGCGAGUCGAAAGCUUAAACAUUAUUUCCAGGAGCACCCGAUUACUGUGGUCAGUUCCGCCCCCUCGGUGACGUCAUCCAAAAUCGGGAGGCAACAGGGCGAAUCGCCAAAUGGGCAAUAGAGCUUGGGUCUCAUCACAUACAAUAUACCCCCCGCACAGCCAUAAAAUCCCAGGCACUAGUUGAUUUCGUUAACGAUUGGACGGAACUUCAGGCUCCGGAAGAUCGGCCUGACCUUACCUAUUGGACUAUUUACUUUGAUGGAUCCAGGCAGUUGGAGGGCUCGGGGGCUGGUGUGGUGCUGAUAUCCCCUCAAGGAGAUAAGUUCUGUUAUGUUCUCCGACUCAUGUUUCCCUGCACGAAUAAUGCGGCGGAAUAUGAAGCUCUGCUUCACUGUUUGCGACUGGCAAAAGAGAUGAACUUAACCCGAGUCAGAUGUUUUGGUGAUUCAGAUUUGGUGGCGCAACAGGUUUCGGGUACCUGGGACUCUCGGGAUCCUAUGAUGGCGGCUUACAGACGAGCUGUGUCUGAUGUGGCAGGCUAUUUUCAUGGAUAUCAGGUGGAUCAUGUUGAUCGGCGACUCAACGAAGCAGCUGAUGCUCCCUCGCGACUCGGCUCACAAAGAAAACAGGUCCCCCCUAAUGUUUUUUUGGAUAUCUUGCAUAAACCGUCUGUGGCUUUACCCACGGAGGAGGAGUUGGCGAUACCAGAUCCCGAGUCUCAGCUCGUGGCGACUCUCCAUGUCACUCCGGACUGGGUUCUUCCUUAUCUGGCUUAUCUCACUCGCGUCGAAUUACCCACCGACGAAGUUUUGGCUCGCCAGAUCGUUCGACGUAGCAAAUCCAUGGUCAUCAUUAAUGGCGAGUUAUAUAAACGGAGUGCUUCUAGGGUCUUUCAGCGGUGUGUUUCCUCCGAGGAAGGAUGCGUGAUCCUAAAUGACAUUCAUUCUGGAGACUGCAGGCAUCACGCCGGGUCACGUUCUUUGGUAUCAAAGGCUUUUCGACAUGGCUUCUUUUGGCUGACGGCUCAUGCAGAUGCGGAAGACAUAGUACGGCGAUGCGAGGGGUGCCAACGAUAUGGGAGACAGGCUCAUGAGCCGGCUCAAGAAUUGAGGAUGAUUCCCAUUACUUGGCCCUUCGCGGUCUGGGGGCUGGACAUGGUCGGUCCCUUUAAAAUGUCCUCUAACAAGAAAACUCACUUAUUGGUGGCAGUUGAUAAGUUCACUAAAUGGGUUGAGGCGGAACCUGUUGGAGCUUGCGAUGCAGAGACAGCGGUAAAAUUUCUGAAAAAGCUGAUUUUCCGUUUUGGAUACCCGCACAGUAUUAUCACGGACAAUGGUACUAACUUGUCCCAAGGAGCGAUGCUGGAUUUUUGUCGUCGAGAACAUAUCCGGCUUGAUGUUUCUGCAGUUGCUCACCCGCAGUCCAACGGGCAAGCAGAGCGGGCGAAUCAGGAAGUCUUGCGAGGGAUUAAACCUCGGCUCAUGGUUCCCCUGGAAAGGAUCCAGGGUGUUGGGUUGAAGAGUUACCUUCGGUACUGUGGAGUAUUCGGACCACCCCGAAUCGAUCCACGGGGUUCACUCCCUUCUUUUUGGUCUAUGGAGUAGAGGUUGUCCUCCCUACUGACAUAAGACAUGAUUCUCUUAGAGUCGCUGCAUAUGUGGAGCAAGAUAAUGAGCUGGCGCGUCAGGAUUCCUUGGAUGCCUUGGAAGAGGCGUGUGACCUGGCUGCGGCUCGUUCGGCUAUCUACCAGCAAGAUCUGCGGCGUUAUCAUAGUCGCCGGGUUAAGAGUCGGACUUUUCAGGAGGGCGACUUAGUACUUCGUCUGAUACAAGAUCGGGCAGGCAUGCACAAGCUAUCACCCCCUUGGGAAGGGCCGUUCGUCGUCAGCAAGAACCUCCGCAAUGGCUCUUAUUAUUUGAUGGAUCUUCGGCCUAAUCGACCGACUACAGAGGCUGAGUCACCUCGCCCCUGGAAUAUUGCUCAUUUGCGGCCUUACUACACUUGAGCUCUUAAAAGCUCCACGUUUUGUUAGUUUUUCAGUUUCAUUAUGAAGUAAUAAAACACUCUCCGACUUGGGGGCUUCUUCAUUAAAAAGUGCAAAUUGUGUCAUCCUGUUGCGACCUUAUGAGCCGACAGAACAUGCAUUUAGGGUGGGUGCACGAGCUUUCUGACUCGCCUCCCCCUGUCGCGACCGUAUGAGCCGACGAAACCUGCAUUUAGGGUGGGUGCACGAGCUUUCUGACUCGCCUCCCCCUGUCGCGACCGUAUGAGCCGACGAAACCUGCAUUUAGGGUGGGUGCACGAGCUUUCUGACUCGCCUCCCCCUGUCGCGACCGUAUGAGCCGACGAAGUUACUUUUAUUAUGAUUUAAUCUUGAAGGUUUUAAACCAUUUUUUCCUUUCUACAUACUUGUUGAAACUAUCCAUAGUUCAUUUGUUUUCACAGAUGAUGUUUUCAAAGUUUAAGACAGGGGGGUGGUAAGAUUUGUUUCAUCCUUGGUGGAUUAAGCAUUAUAGAAGACUCUUAUAAAGGCGGGCCAAAUAUUUCAAAUCGCCUUAAAAAGCGAUAUAAGGGUUUUUUCUCGCAGAAGAUAUCAUCAAAAAACAGUACUGACUAUUACAUGGCUCACAGGCCAAAUUCAGGAAAGUCUACUUCGCUAAAUCCUGGCGUGAGCUCUGGCCAACUUCGAUUUGUAAAUCGCCCAAUACCCAAUUGCACCUGGCCAAAGCAGCAAAGUCGUCUUCGUCGGUCAAAAUUGAUGCCAAGUCUGCUUCCCAGUCGAAAGGAUUCUUGGGUCGCCGAGGAAUUAGGUUGGUCACCACGAAGGUUGGUGGGCUGACUUUCUUAUUCCUACUAUCAUAAGCCGCCUGGUACUUCGUUAAAUCAAGGCUUGCGGCGAGUCGAGUUGCAGCCAGCCGAGAAUCCUUGACAACUUUUUGGUAACCCUCUUCAACAAAUUCCAAUCCAUCGUCCUUAAGCUGAGGGAAGCCAGCAGCUACUUCUUCUAAAUUGAUCUCUGGGGCAUACGCUAAGCAGCGACUCAGGGCAGUCAGGACACCUUUCCGGGCGGCUGACCGGGUUAACUCGCCAAUCUGGGGAGGAAGUGUGGACAAACAUCCAAGUACCUUCUUGAUGGAAGUAAUAGGCUCUUUGGCACUCAUCACAGCUUUGACGGUCAACACACUGCCUGUGUACAGCUGCUCUGUCAGCGUAUAAAUCGCCUUCAGCAUCAACACACAGUCUUCUUGCAGGUUGGCGACUCUUGGACCUGAAAUAUGAUGAUUAGUGACUUAACAUCAGAAAUUUGAGUAAAAAAAGGGGGGGAUAAGGUUGAAGAUUUGGGUAAGGCUUACCAAAGAUGGCUUGCGUCAUGUUAGAGAUAUGACGUUUUAAGCCGGAUAACUCCUGUUGAACAGUCACCAGCUUCGCUUCAGCUUUCUCUGCUCUCUUCAAAGCAGCGUUUUGGUCAGCUUGAGUUUUUUCUAACUCGGCUUUGAGUUUUUCCAGUUCGGCCAGAGCCAAUUUACACUUCUCUUCCGACUGAGUUCGGGCGUCUUGUUGUUCAGCUAAGUUUUUCCUUAAAUCGCCCAGCGCCAAUUCGGUCUGAGCAAGGUUUUCCUAUUGCAAGUUUAAAAUAAGGACAAGUCUCAGAAUUACUGCAAAGCAAUAUCCCUGACACUUGGGGGCUAAUGUAUAAUUUUUUCAGGAGAAAUUAUACAGAAAUCAAGACUGGUCGCGAAGUUUUUUCUAAAAAUUUCAAGACCCGGCUCAUCUUUUUACUGAUGACCCGGCCCUUGGAGGUUACUGGUCGCGAAGCUUUUUCUAAAUUUUCAAGACCCGGCUCAUCUUUUUACUGAUGACCCGGCCCUUGGGGGUUACUGGGAAUAAUAUAAGUAUAACAAAAUUUACCUCAUGUUUGUUGUUUAACAUCUUCAGCAGGUUUUUCUCCAUCUCAUAGCUCGCCUCCAGGCGACUUGCAAAGCCAGAACAGAGUUCCUCAAACUCCAGAUUUGCAUAGUCGGAAAGUUUCGCCUUGGAGAGCCCAGACUCGGGAAUGGCCUGAGAGGAGGAUGCUACAUGUUUGGACAAAACUGUCGCUGCCGGCUUAGAAAAGCCAGAGCCAGUAAUAACUACAGCAUCUGGGUCUUCUGUUGUCAUCAAUGGGUUCGGCGAUCUAGAGGCAUCCAUUGUUUCCUUCGGCGACUCAGGAAGAUCCACUUGAAUCGCAGGCUCAGCAUGAUCCGGAUCGUCUUGAGUCGGAGUUGAUUUAUUUGGGGGUUCUGAAGUUGCAUCAGGAAUUGAUCCACUGGUUUUCCUUUUCUUGGCUUGUGCCCUAACAAAAGGGAAUAAGCACGUUAAGGAAUUGAAAAGAUCGUUAUUCUCAAAAGUCUAGGCAAGGUUAUCAAAAGACUUACCCCGGAACUCGAAUCAUUGGUGGAAGUGUUGACAUCACUGAGUCUCCGGAAGUGGGAGGAGAGUUCUGCAAAAGUUAUAUAUCAAUAAUACAGGCGGGUUACAAAUGUGAUCCAAAGAAGCACGAAUAAUGGUUACUCAUAAAAGUACCUCGCUUGGCUUUCUUUUGUUCGUUGCUGGUAAGCCAGAUACCAGAUCGCCAGAGUGACUUCGUGUUUUCCGGUUUGAGGCGUGUUGUGCUUUCUUCAGUAGGAAAUUUGGGUCCAAAUAAGCAUUUGGAUGUGAGAAGGGGACUUUCCCACAUAUUCGCCGGGCCGGCUUAGGUGGAGAAGGAGAUGAAUCGGAGGAAACAGAAAUUACCUCAACAGAGUCUUCUUGGCUUUCGUUAUCUUCAUUCUAUUACAAGGAGAGAGAAAGAUAUAAAUAAAAGGUCAAAAGUGAUAGGUGGCGAGUGAAAAGAGGACGGAUUUGUACCUCUGAAAGUGCAUCGCCGACUUGAGAUUCGUCGACUUCGGAUGGCUCAGCCGCAGCAUAUUUUCCUUUGCCCUUUGCUUUCUUAGAGGGCGGCUUAGCAGUUUUCAUGGCUUGCUUUUUAGGUUUCCUGGACCAGAACUUAUCGCCUUUCUGAAAAGAUAUAUAUUAUGAAACCAUGACGGCAAUGAAACAGAAGGGAUAAAUACCGAGGGCGGGUCAGUUUUGGUUACCUUGGGCGCCGGGUUAAUCUUGCAAAAGGGCUUAAGGCCGAUUUGGCCGCACUUUCCCGCAGGCUCGUCGGUCAACUUUUUGAUGAUGGCAACAAUGUCCUUUUCUGUUAAUGUUGUGUGAAAGUAGCAUUGAGGAUGAUCCAGAGUGCCAUCAAACUCACACAUCAGACCAUCUCGGCGGCUUAGAGGAAGAAUCUGCCAUUCGACCCAGCAGCGGAUCAGCUCAACCCCGGUAACACCAUUGUUCGUCAGGGAUCUCAGCUCAGAUAAUAUUGGGAUGAACUCCGACUCUUCUUCCUCGGUGAGCUUGUCUGGGAGCUUGAAGUUGACCGGAAGGCGGGUUGGCCUGUAACCCAGAAGCUUAUUCUCACCAGCAGGAGACGUCUCUUGACAAUAAAACCAAGAUUCGCCCCAGCCCUUGGGAUGGCUAGGCAUGAUGAGUGAAGGGAACUGACUAUCCCUACGGCGCUGGACGUUGACGCCGCCGAGUUCCAAACUGGGGCCAUUGUGGAAUUCCGUCUGGCGAUUCAGAUGAAAAAAUGCCAGAAUAGAGGGACAGAAGGCUCGAUCCGCAGAUAAGCUUCACAAAGAACUUGGAACUGGCUCAAAUUGCUUAUGGAAUUGGGUCCCAGAUCCUGGAGUCGGACGUUCAUGAAGGUCAAAGCGUCCCUAAGAAAUUUCGAUCCGGGCGGCUUAAAACCCCGUUCCAAAUGUUCAACAAAAACUACUAUUUCCCCUUCUUUGGGGUUAGGGAGAUCUUCUCCCAACCAAGUGCGCCAUCCAAUGACAUCUUGAGGAUCCAAACAGCCCGCUUUCACAUAAUUAGCUAAGACAGCGUCAUCAACCUUGGUAGGAAGCCAGUCACUCUUGAAGACGGCGCCCAUGCUACAAGUAGGUAAAAGUAUGAUAUUACAUGUCUUGGACACCUACUAUAUGGGAUGGAAUCGGUUCAUUUAACCCGCUAGACCAAGAGGCCGGGUUGGGUUGCUAUGGCGACUUAUGGAAGUAGGGUUAUUCCCAAAGGCUACGUUUCUGCGGGUGGUAAAAUCUAUUCAUUCCGAAGCACUAAGGGGGGAUGAAGGCUACAAACGGCUUUUCGCAAACAGUAAAUGAGGAAUGGAUCUACCAAACAGAUGUGGAAACCUACGAAUAUAACUCGGCACGGACAAUUUAUUAUCAAGUGACGCCCCUCGUUUGGUGAAGACAUUGUGUUCAAAGAUUCGCGAGUACAGCGGAUAAUUAAAAUUAUUCAGGGCACUGGCUACCCUAUCGGUGCUCGUGCUAAUCGAUUCGAGGAAGAUGAGCAACUAUGAGCGAAAAGCUUCAAAGGUACGGCAAUGGCGAAAGCUCAAGCAAGGAAUGAACCUACUCCUAAGAAGGUGAAUGAAGGCCUAACCUGAUGCUCUCGAUCGAAGAAGGCCGACGGUGACGGAGAUCGUUGAAGAAGCGCGGGGGUCCCGACGAACGAAGAAAUCUUCGGCGGCGGCAGAGUUCGAGGCGAGCAACGAGGUGGUCGAUGAUGAUGCGAUGGUCAAUGGCGGCGUACGGAUCGUCCGAGGUGCGAGGCUUGACGACGGCAACGGCUUAUGGGCGGCGCUGAAGCUUCUCGGAUGAGGGCGGAAGGUGCGGCCGGCGGCGGAGCCCUCGGGAAGCGAUGAGGCCUUUUGCUGUGAUAAUGGGGGGGGACUGACGAGACUGGUAGGUGGGAAGCGCCAGCCCAGUCCCCUCCGUCUAUUUAUCAGGACGGGCGCUGGAAUCGAGGCGCCGUGAGCGGGAACCGCUGGGGAAUAAAAAGAUUCGCCAUGAUGACGUCCGAAGAUUUUGGGAUAACGAUGCACUAAAGAUCCGUUGGGAUUAUGUUAGUUUUCCCGAGAAUCGAGGGAUAAGAAGAUGCCAACAGGAAAUGGUUUGGCGACUCAAAGGUUUUUUCGGUGCCUGAUGGCGAGUUACAAUUUCUGACGUAUGGAGAAAGACGAAUGAGUGAAUCACCUUCAACUGAGCGGAAGCAUUGGCGUGAAAGUUCAAGUCAAUCUGGGCCUAAUGUUGGGGAUAUUACUUAUUAACUGACCCGCCCAAGAUGGGCCGGGUUACCAGUAAGGCGAUUCAUCCUCUAGGUUACUCGGGCUUCAGCCUGGCCGGUUCAAGGCCGCGGGACAGUUAUGAUUUCUGGAAGGUCUCCGGGUUUUGAAGGACGGCGACUUAGAGACCACAAUGGUCACGAAUUGUAAGAAGGAAGGGACUCUUGUAAACCCUAAGGCCUUGACCUAUAUAUAAAAGGCGAGUCCUAAGGAGGAGAGGGAGGUAGAAAAUCAUCGAGUGCUAGGUUAGGCGAGUUACGCCUCCCUUGUAAUCGAAUCCACAUCAAUACACACAAAGCAGGACGUAGGCUAUUACCUCCUCUCGAGGGGCCGAACCUGGGUAAAUCGCCGUGUUCCUCCCGUUUAACCCCUUUGAGUCGCCUUUAUAUAUAGGUCAAGGCCUUAGUGUUUACAAGAGUCCCUUCCUUCUUACAAUUCGUGACCAUUGUGGUCUCUAAGUCGCCGUCCUUCAAAACCCGGAGACCUUCCAGAAAUCAUAACCGUCUCGCGGCCUUGAACCGGCCAGGCUGAAGCCCGAGUAACCUAGAGGAUGAAUCGCCUUACUGGUAACCCGGCCCAUCUUGGGCGGGUCAGUUAAUAAGUAAUAUCCCCAACAGAGUGGCCAAGCGAUGUGUUCUUAUGCGCCAGUGGAAUUUAUGAGGACUUUUAUCACUUGGUGGAAAACGCAGGCCUUACCGCCUUUGUUGAAGAUAAGUGUCUGCAAUACCUCCUACUCACUAAUAUCUUCAUACAAAGCUUUAACUUCUAUCCGAGGAAGAAUCCUCCUAUGGUUGAGUUCAAACUUUAUGAUAUCCCCCAGCGCAUGUCACUCCAAGAUUUUUGCAAUGUUUGCAAAUUACCUUACGUGUGGAUAUUCAUGAACCUCGUCCACGGGACUUGGAAGCUUCCAUCGGUACAAUUGUUGUAGGAGAGGAGAGAGGAGUGUCUUGCACCAGAGCUGCUAGCAUUCAUUUUCCCGUGCUUCGGUACUUCUCACUUUUUGUGGGAAAAUGUUUGAUUGACCUUGGGAAAGCUGGGUCACUUAGUUCCCCAGAUCUUGCGGUCUUGCGCGAAGCCCUUUAUAAUGAUAAAACUUAUAGCUUGGGCGCUAUAGUAGCUCAACGGUUGAAUCUGAAAUGUUCUAAAGGUGUUGUCUAUGGAGGUAUCUAUGCCACCCGUCUUGCCAGACACUUUGAGAUACCCAUUAGACUGGAGGAAGAAGAAGAGGUUCUUCUUCCGGAGAGAUAUCUAGAUUACGAUAGCAUGGUUCGCCAUGACUUUCUUGAUAGAGAUAUAAGUAGAAGGAUGAUUUAUAACCUGGUAUUUAGUCAGGGUACUCGUGAGACUAUUACUUUGCGUGCUCCUUCUUUGUUCAAUCUUCAUGCAGGCAGGUACAUUAUUAUGCCCUCGGACAUCUACGCAUAUUGGGGCCUAGCCCAACCACAGGUGCCCGUGCCCGAGCCACCAGUCGAGUACUAGACGCCGGUUUAUCAGUGGGAGCCGGAGGAGCUCACACAGCAGUGGCAUCCUCAGUCCACUCCGGAGUACCCCGGAGCUGGUUAUUUCCCUCCUUGGGAGUUGACCAAGUUAGGCCAAAAGCCUAAUCUUAGGGGAGUACGUGUUCUCACCGACUUUACAUUCUUGCUUAUGCUUUCACUUUGUUAGCCGGUGUUCACACUUUUCCAUUGUAUCAUCCAUGCUAGUUUAUUUUCUUUUUCUCGUUUUCUUUUCGUGUGUUUGUCUAGUUUGAGAAAAAAAAGAUUUUCUUUUUCUUCUUUUGCUUGUUGGGAGCUUUCCCGUGUAGAUAGUUUUUCUUUUUCUUUGGGUCAAGGUAGAAGAUAUUGGUUACAAUGUUUAGUGGCUCUUGCAUUCAUACCUGUUUAGCUUUCAAAGAGCCAUAUUACUUUGUCUUCUCCUUUGUGUUUGCCUGCAGAUUCCAGCAUAGUCCAAUGCACGAGCACACUUAUUAUUGUUCACAUCAUUCGGUCGUGCAAGUGAAAGGCAAUAAUGACGAUAUAUGAUGAAGUGACUGAGCCUGGAAAAGCUGGUAUGAACUCGAUCUAUUUUGUUUUUGUAAAUAUGACUAGCUCAUUGUGCCUGAUUCAGCUUUGUUGUGAGAGAAACGUGUUUGCAAUGACAACUUAGAGAUCAUAGUUGCUUAUGUCAUGCUUAUUUAGCUAGGAGCUUAUAAUGGUUUGUCUUGGUUGCCAACAUGAAUGUUGAGAUGACUAUGAUGUGGUAUCAUAGGAUGGUAUCCUCCUUUGAAUGUUUCAAGUGGCUUGACUUGGCGCAUGUUCACGCAUGUAGUUGAAACAAAAUCAACAUAGCCUCUAUGAUGUUCAUGUUCAUGGUGAUUUAUGUCCUACUCAUGCUUCCACUCUAUAUUAGUUAAUCUCAAUGCAUUUUGAUGACUGUUGUCGCUCUCUAGUUGUUCCAUAUGAGUCCACCAUACCUACCUAGGUGCGGUAUCUACCUGUCGUUCGAAGUAAAUUUGCAUGUGCCACUCUCUAAACCUUCAAGAAAUAACCUGUUUUGCAUGCCCGAACCGCUCAUGUGGUGACAGGGGGCUAUCAAUAUCUUCCAUGCUAGACGUGUUAUCCUCGAUAUGUGUUUAUUCACUAUCAUUCACGAGAAAGGGGCCGGUAAUUGGAAUUCCUAGUUCCAUGCUCAAAUCGAAAAGAUAAUUGCAAACAAAACUCCCCCAGGAUUGAUGUUGGUAUGGACGAUACCCGAGGAUUCGGCUAGCCGUGGAGUGUGAUUGAUUGGUGGUGGGGGAGUCAAAACUUUACUUUUCUGUUUGGGAACCGCCUAUAGCAUGUGUAGCGUGGAAGAUAUUAAGAACUCUUCGUCAUUGCGUUGACAAUGAAAGCAUGCCACCCAAAAUUAUUAUCUCUGUUUUCAAAGCUUGAGCUCUGGCACCUGUGCAAAUCAAUGCUUCCCUCUGUGAAGGGCCUACCUAUUUAUGUUCCUGUCGAGUCAUCCUCCUCUUAUAAAAGCACCAAUUAGAGAGCACCUCUGUCAUUUUUAUGCUUUGCUUUUAACUAUGUUGAGUGUGACUAUGACUGGAUCUUCAUUGCCUUGAAUUACAAUGUUUAGUCAGCCCUUGGUCUUUUAAGGUGCUUUGCAUUUAUGUUUUGCGGUCUCAGAAAGAGCUAGCGAGAUGCCAUCUAUUCGUACUGCUUCAUGUUGUUUUGAUUGAAGUGUUGACAUUUGAGGCUUGUUAUUAUUUGCUCGCUAGUUGAUUAUGCCAUUGAUCUGAGUUUACCGUGAGACCUAGAUGUCAUUCAUCGCGUUUUGCGAUACAGAGGUGCCACCACAUCCUGUUCUUCAUCUGGAGGGUAGAUCUGGAGUCUGUUUCGGGCUCCGGAGAGGGGAAAUCGUCGCCAUCGUCAUCAUCAACCUUUCUCCAUCGAUAAUUCCAUAAUGCUCUUCAUCGUUCGUGAGUAAUCUCAUCGUAGGCUUGCUGGACGGUGAUGAGUUGGAUGAGAUCUAUCAUGUAAUCGAGUUAGUUCUUGACGGGGAUUGAUCCCUAGUAUCCACUAUGUUCUAGAUUGAUGCUGCUACUACUUGGCUAUGCUUAAUGCUUGUCACUAGGGCCCGAGUGCCAUGAUUUCAGAUCUGAACCUAUUAUGCUGUCGUCAAUAUGUGUGUGUUUUAGAUCCUAUCUUGCAAGUUGUAGUCACCUACUAUGUGUUAUGACCCGGCAACCCCGGAGUGACAAUAGCCGAAACCACUCCUGGAGAUAACCAUUGUAUGAGGAGUUCAUGUAUUCACCACGUGUUAAUGCGUUGGUCCGGUUCUUUAUUAAAAGGAGAACCUUAAUAUCCCGUAGUUUCCAUUAGGACCCCGCUGCCACGGGAGGGAUGGACAAUAGAUGUCAUGCAAGUUCUUUUUCCUAAGCAUGUAUGACUACAUACGGAAUACAUGCCUACAUUAGAUUGACGAACGGGAGCUAGUUACUUAUCUCUCCGUGUUAUAGCUGUUACAUGACGAAUCAUAUCCGUCACACUCAUCCAUCACCGAUCCACUGCCUACGAGUCUUUUACUACUGGUCUUCACUAUGUUACUUUGCCUAGGCUUGUCCCUUGCUACAAAAGGGAUUGUGCCACUUUGCUGCUACUGUUGCUAGUGUUGUUACUCUGCUGCUGCUGCUACUGUUGUUCCUUGCUGCUUCGCUGUUACUUGUUGCAGACUUUUCUGGAGCCGUUGCCUGGGAAGAAUAGUUCCCCGUUCACGUGCUCUUUAUUGGCGCCAUUGAUACAACAGUUAGGAAUAGUCUGUCGUGAGCAGAUCGUUUCUGGCACCGUUGCUAUCAUACUACUUUGCUACUGAUACUUUGCUUGCAGACACUAAUCUUUCAGGUGUGCUUGAAUCUGACACAUUCAGCUGCUAAUACUUGAGAAUAUUCUUUCGCUUCCCGUCUUGGCGAAUCAACAAAUUUGGGUUGAAUACUCUACCCUCGAAAACGGUUUCGAUCCCAUACGCUUGUGGGUCAUCAAUCCCACAGUCGAGGUGGCGCACCACCUCGGAAGCAGUCCAGCAUAUAGUUCGGAUGUGAAUGGCUAGCUCCAUAAACGACUAUUCCAGCAUUUAAUCUCGGAUGAAUUCCUUUAGAUUUUCACAUACCGAGGUAAUUUAUGACACCUCGGAUGCCGACCAGCGUUGGAGCUCGACUACAAAAUGACACCUCAAAUGCAGUCCGACAUUGGAGCUCGGACGCAAGAGGACACCUCGGAUGCAUUUAGGCGUUGGAGCUCGAACGCAAGAGGAUAUCGCCGCACGAGAAACAUUUCAGACCCAAGAUGUGGCGUAAAAAAUUACAAGGCAUUAAUAAAGGCCGAUAACUCAAAGGGGCUCCUCGGAUACCCGAUGUGCGAACUCUUCGGAUUCACCCCGACGAUCCUCAAGAUUAGUUAUGGGAAGAUUUGUUGAACCGGUUUUCAAGACCGACGACCGAAGAUGAAGAACAGUUUGGAAGAAAUAAGGAGCAUCCCCAACUUGAAGACCUAUGCUCGGAAAUCGAGAAGUCAUUGGCGGCCGAACUGGUGUUGACCGAACAUAAAUGGGGAGAAGAACUCGCCCCACAAGCCGAAGACUUUAGGUGCGUGACGCUAAGGAUCAAGACUACGACAUUGGCAGCUAGUACAGGGGCUACUGAUGAAGUCUAGGACUAAGGGGUCAUCUGGCCACCGGCCUACCUCUACGGGCCGGACUCCUGGUCUACUUCGGGCAGCCGAUGACAUAUACAAGGAAGAUUCUACAAGACUUGGUGAUCAAGACAAGGACUCCUCUACACCGACGUAGCCGACUAAGACUCUUGUUAUCCUAAGCUUAUGGUGCAUUGUAUAAACCAAGGCCAGGCUAGUCGAUAGACAAACUCAUAUUCAUACGAUCAUUACUCUUAGGUUUUAGACCACAACAUCUGAUCUUGUAGUAGAUCAACUAUGUACUCUGUACUAUCCCUUCAAUAACAACAAGAGCAGGACGUAGGGUUUUACCACUAUCAAGAGGACCCGAACAUGGGUAAAACAACGUCUUCUUCGUCUCUUGUUACCCAUCGACCCUAGAUCCAUAGUUCGGACCCCCUACUCGAGAUCAGCCUGUUUUGACACCGACAAUGGAUAUUGUGGAGCAUAAAAAAGAACCUACUAAUAAGAGCCCGAUGAUGAUGUCGUUGGAAGAGACCAAAAACUCAGCAAAUACUAUACAACCUACAGAUGCACAGAUAGAUAUAUCCAAUUCAUGUCAUACCAAACCAAGAAGAGCAAAUACAAAUAUUACACCACAAGGUACUUCUUCACAGUGAUUAUCAAGCUUUUCAUUUCAUUGGUCUUUUUAUGUGUAACUAAUUUGGCUUCAUGUUGUCCCAUGAAAAACUAUAUUUGCACCCCGUAUGAUAUUUCAAUUAAAUCAAUCAUGCCCUUACAUUCAAAUACUAAGUUGGUGCACAUCAAUGAUGCAUUAUUAUAAAACACUUAGAUGAGAUGUCAUACGAAUGAUGAUGUGUUUUUGCACGAUGAUGUAACUCAAACCACACAAACUCUCGUAAUUAAGCAUUAGUGUCUCAAAAUUAGAAGGUAUUCUAUCCUUUUAAAUUAUAGGUAAUAAAUGCAUACAUAUAUUGCAUUAGUGCCCAGGAGCAUCUGCAAGAUAGAGCGGAUGGAAAGGUACAUAUUGCAAGCAUGUUUGUGUCUUCCCUCCUAAAAAAAGAUGAGAUAGACCCGACAACACAUCACCACAUUGUAAAACGAUUAAAUACUUUUAUGGAGCAUGACAUAAUCAGUCUUAACUCACUAUACUUACAUAUAACAAUUAAGCACUUUUUUACGUGAAAGUGGUUAUGUGUUAUGUAAUAUUUAUUACUUCAGGUAUUCCUUCCAAUUAACAUCAGAAAAUGCCACCAGUAUUUAUCAGUCAUCAAUGCAAAGAUACGAGAGAUACAUGUAUUGGACUCGCUUGGAAUUGGCAUGAGCCAAAGUGACCUCACUAUGACGGUAAAUGCUACUUCUUGUGUUUCUUUCUCUAGACAAUACAUUCUCUUUUGCCUAAUACCUGGUGAAUUUUUUCCAUUUAAUAGUUACAAGGACUUGACAAGCAUCUAAAAAUCGCAUGCGAUAUGCCGGAGUUUAGGAGAGGUGAUAGGUGCCAGGACCUCGAUAUUAUGAAUUGGAAAGUCGUAGAAUAGUUCCAAAAGCCACUCCAAACAUAUGGGUAUGUUGAACACAUCUCAUGCUCCGAACUGAAUUAUAGAGAAAUCUAUGAUAGAAUAGUAAGUCUUGUGAAUAAUAUAUUUUGUACACAAAUAUGGUCUUAUUUUUUAGCUAAAACUUUGAGGUAAUAGAUACGUUUGACCAUGCAUGGAGACAUGUACAAUGAACAUUAUUACUUGUUUAAAUACUUUAUUUAUAUUGAGAUGAAAGCCUAAAGAGAUAUUUCAAUAUUGCAUCACGUCAUGUAGAUUGUUUAUGUCAAAUUUUAUGGAGUAUUGGACAGGAGAUCUUUUGUCCGAUCAAUUCACUCAGGUGUCUCUUUCUUCUUAAUAUCGGAUUUCAUCUCAAAUGGUGAUUUUUUAACAAAUUCUUUUUAAUUACUAUAUGCAAGAGAACAUGAAAGAAUUUUCAUGAAAAUUAGUUGUCAUAAUGUUGGAGACAUGACUUAAUAAGUUAAAAGGAAGUCCAAUGUACUACUAGCCUCACAAUGAAGAAAAAGUACGAUCUUAAGUUCCUGAAGGAUCGCAAGAGUAAGCGGCAAGAUUCACCUCAUGGAGCCGAAGACAAAAGCCCCCUUCCGACCCCCAUCAUGGGCACAGACGCGCAUGAUUUAGUUGACAAAAUAUGCAACCACAUCAUGUCAAUUAAUGAUGCUGAUUCAUUGGAGUAAGCAACAUGUGUAAGAAGUAUAAAGUUUCAAUAUACAGUAUUACAAUGUUACAAUUAUUAACUGUUACCUACAAAAAGGAAUGGGUGCGAAGCUCUAAACACCAUCCGAUAGGAUUAAGUCUCAGAAGGAUUCAAGGUAUACUCCACCGGGACCAGCCGUUGGACAUUGAUUGUUUCAACAUGGUAUACGUAUACUUCCACGUGAAAAGCCCUUACUGACAGUAGAUCCUCCGGUGCAAUUUAUGGAUCUACAAUUUUCUGUACACAAUCACACAUUAUAUUAUCAUUGUCACCAUCAUGUUUCUUAACCAUUUUUCAUCGAGAUGGCUUUAACCGAGGCCACCGUUGCUUCCGCGCGAGAUUUAGAUUUGCGGGUACAGCCAGAUAUUCAGACGCUAGCAUCAUUGCUUCGUAGCUGGACUAAGAUAGACCACAAAAUCUUAUCAUGCAAUUGGGUAAGUUUGGUCUAUUUUAUUGGUUGUCGUGAUAAAUGUUUAUUCUUAAUGAGUGUUGCUUGUAGAUAUUGCUUCCUCAUGCAUUCCUUGGCAACUACAUCUUGUUCGCAAUCAACAAACAUGCCCGUCAAGUAUCUAUUUUGGACCAAUUUUUUCCGUCCUUAUCCCCGGAGAGACAUGCAUUAAAUUUUUAGAGGAUUGCAUUCUACCUGAAUGAUGCACUCGAAUUAGCACAACCAGGUUGGAAGUGUGAUAUUUUUUUUUGCCACAUAAAUCAACAAUUGAUGUUCCAACGAGCCUAGAUCGGUAGUUGCUAUGAAAAUCACUAUGCACAUUUUAUAUUUAUUGUCAUUAACUCCCAAAAUAAUGAUAGUGUAUUUCAUCUACACGGAUGAAUCUGGUUAUUUUGUUUUCCAUUUUAUGCUCACAUGGUAAGGUAACAAAUUUGUUCGUCCAAUUUGCAUAGUAAGCAUCCUAUAGCACAUGUUAAUAAAAAGUUUGAAGCAUAAUUGCAUGCUCCUGAGAUACAUUGCUCAUGCAGAAUGGUUAUGAGCUGAGAAAGAAUUUUUUUGAUACACUUGCUCGAGUAUCAUGCGAAUGAAGCUGAAGACAACAUCCCAUAUGAUGUACGACAAAUUCUCAAGUGUCUCAAGUAGGAAGUUAAUAAGAGAUAAUAAAGUGGACUUGAUCUCUACACACCAGUAGUCAAACUGUCUUUUUUUAUCAAAAAAUAUUUAUUCAUCUCCAUGAAUUUGUUUAUUGUAUUUGCCAUAUGUUAUGGCUAUAUAUUUAUAAACAUGAAUUUUGCGAUGCAAUAUGUUUUCGCGCCGGAAAAAUAAUAAUGUCAAUUAUAUGUAAACCCUCGAUCGGUAUCCACCAACCAAAGUUACCAAACACUACCUAUAUAUAUAUUCAUCAAACCCUACCUUCUGUAUAUUGUACGGUUCAGGUCAAGCGAAUGGCCACAAAAUUGACGUGUUCAAUGUGCUGAGUUGAUUUUGCCCUACUUUUUUAGCAUCUUAUUUUGCCUUGCAUGAUGAAAGUCAAUUUGCAUGAGUACACCUUUUUUCUUUUAAUACAAGUAAAUUAAAGUAUGUCCACUCUCAUCGAAAGCCAUGAAGAGAAACCUAGCAUGUACGAAAGCUUGUUUCUCUUACAAAUAAAAAAGUCAAGCAGCCUAGCCAAUAUAAAAACAAAAAAAGAUAAAGCAUGCAUGCACCAGUAGCUGCACCAACAAAAAUCUAAGACGCCCCCAUCUGAUGUUGACGCUAUACACAGUCCAGAAGUAUAGCGUCGGUCCAUGAUCAAAAAUCAUAGCGCAAGUCCCGUUGCUCCAACCAUUGAUCAUAGCAUGUCUUCCUCUAUAAAACGAAGCCUUGUAGCGCGAGUUACUUAGUACACAUCAUAAGCACGAGAGGGCUCCUUCUUUGCUACGAUUUGCUACCGCCGCCCAUGGUUCAAAUGUGGGUUGCCGAAGUACGAUCAUCUUAUUUAAGAAAGAAACACAGAGAUUUAGUUAUACGUGUAGAUCAUAAUUCCAAUUAGUUUGCUAAUUCUUUUAUUAACAUUGUUAAUGCAAAUGAAUUUUUUUGAUCUAAACAAUGGCUCGCUCACAUAUAUUAUUUUUAAUUAAAUUUGCAUUUGCUUUAAACAAUACUUUUAGCUAACGAUCAUUAAGAAAACCGACUUUCAUUUCUUUAGAUGUUUCUGGCAUAGUAAUGUACGUCGGCCCACUUCAUACGAACUGUUAUACCGUAAAUGGCAUAAGAGAAAUAGCAAUUAUCGCUAGCAAUUAUGAUAUAGUUUUAUUCAACUUUUUGGCAAAAACUUAAUUUAUACAAGAAAGAUCUCAAACAAGCAGAGUAUAUCGAUGUUAUUCUCGAUGCCUCCAACAUAAAGAUUGAUGAUGCAUCAAGUAAGUAUAUAACUUUGAUUUAUAAUCCAUUUGAUUCUUCUCGUCACUAUAUUAACUAUCCAAAGAAAUGAAACUUAUAAAUUUACUUGAUGCAUCAUGAAUUUUCAUGUUAAAGACCUCAAGAAUAGCAUUGGUGUACUAUGUUUGUUUGAGAUCUUCCUCAUAUAAAUCAAGUUUCUUACAAAAAGUCAAAAAAAAAACUAUAUCAUAAUUGCUAGCGACUAUUGUUAUUUCUCUCAUGCCAACUACAGCAUAAUAGUCUGUAUGAAAUGGUCCAACGUGCAUUACUAUGCAAAAAAAUCUAAAGAAAUGAAAGUCAGUUUCACAAUGAUUGUUAGCUAAAAGUAUUGUUUAAAGCAAUUGCAAAUUAAAUUAAAAAUAAUACCUAUGAGCGAGUCGUUGUUUAGAUAAAAAAAAUUAAUCUACAUUAACAAUGUUAAUAAAAAAUUAACAAGUUGAUUGGAAUUAUGAUCUAUACAUACAGCUAAAUGUCUGUACUUUUCCUUUAAAUAAGAUGAUCAUACGUACUUCCAGUGUAACCUACCUUUGAACUAUAGGCAACGUCAGCAAAUCAUAGCAAAGAAGGAGCCCUCGUGCUUGUGGUGUGUAAUAAGUAACUCGCGCUAUAAUGCCUCAUUUUAUAGACGAAGACAUGAUAUGAUCAAUGAUUGUAACGACGAGACUUGUGCUAUGCUUUUUGAUUGUGGACUGACGCUACAUUUCUGGACCGUGCAUAACAUCAACAUCAGAUAAAGAUGUCCUAGAUUUUUGUUGAUGUGGCUGAUGAUGCACGCAUGCUUUACCUUUUUUUUGCUUUUGUAUAUUGGCUAGGUUGCUUGUCCUUUCUUUAUUUAAAAGAGAAACAAACCUUCCUGCAUGGUAGGUUUUUCUUCAUUAGAAUGAACCUACUCCAAGUACUUAUAUUAAAAGAAAUAAAAAGUAUAUAUGCAUACGAAACUUCAAAACUAUGUUCAUCGUGUAAGGUAAAAUCAAACGCUAAAAAAAAUAGACAAAAUCAACUCGACACAUUGAAGUACUCGUCAAUUUUUUGGCCAUUCGUCUAACCUUAACCGUACAACGUUUAAAAGGUAGGGUUUGACAAAUAUAUAUAAGUAGGAUUCGAAAAUUUGGUACGGCUCAUGCUACCAUGUGGUAUUAUUAUCUGGACUGUCCUUCCACCUGGAGAUGCACGCAUGCUCGAGCAUUAUGCGACGUAUUGCGCUGCCUUCUCCAAUAUUGCACAGUGCUAGCCUUGUCUAUCGUUUGUCAUUAAUGAGGCCCAGCCAUUUUCGUCCUCGACGGUCUCCCUCGCUAUUCUUUUUCCUGGACCGUCCCUUGGGAGGCUAGUCGUAUCCUGGAAGUCACUUUCUCCCUUAUUUAUUUUGCUUUUUUUAACCUCCCCGUGUACUCCUCUCGUUCCUCCAGUCUCCUUUCCAUUAAAAAAGCUUGAACUAUCUGUCUUUCAAUUUAUCUAAACAACUACACACAUUAUUUCUAAGUGGCUAAUUUGUGUAGGACAUUGGGGUACCGAUUGCCAGUUCCCAAUGUUUCAAACAGGACUACUAGGGAAGCAUGCUGCUGUGAGCUGGAGCUCUGUUCACAAGGCAAGGGCAGUAUUGGAGGAAGAAUUUUUUUUAAAAAAACUGGUACAUAAACACACGGGCUUAUUAUUUACUUGUCCAAAGUUAAUGCGGAAGAUCAGCAUUUUUCUUUGUAUUCUUUAAGAUUCAGGACGUGGAGAUAGCAGUGAUUGUGCCACAACUCUUCAGACUGAAACACCAAUGUCUGUUUUGAUGAGCAGCAGUUUGACCGUGAACAGUACAAGUGUUACUCUGAAGGAAGAUAGUGCAAUGCAAGGUACAUGAUUUUCUCAAGUUGACUAUAAAAUGUUGUCUAGUUUUGUGCCUGUGUUACCAUCUAGUCAAAAUUUGAUCAGCAUGACAAUAUUAGUACUGACACAUCUGGGGUGUUCCUCAGAUCAGAUUAUCUUUUUCAGUCACUCGAAUAGAGAAAAAUCGGGAGGAUGAUGACCAUGUGCCGUUGUUCCAAACUGGGUUAGGGAGGUCAAUUGCUAUAAGUAAGAGCUCACUUAAGAGGGCAUCUGCAGUUCUGGAGCCAAGGAAUAUUGCAAAGGAAUUGGAAGGUAAAUUGCUCUCUAAACACACAUCAUGGUUUCGUAACAGGCGUGCUCUCUUAUAACUAAAUUUGUGAUAAAUAAGUAUUUUGUAUUUACUGACAAUCAAAAUUUCUUUCUGUAGGAUGGAGCUCAUUUAGAUGGUGACGGUGACACUCCAGUGUUCAAAACUGGAUUAGGAAGGUCUAUAUUAGCAAGUGAGAACUCUAGAAAGUAAUUGCCUAUCUUAGAGGCUGAAGAAGCAGAAAAAGUGGUAAUUUUAUGUUCUGAAUUAAGAGAGUACCUUCACAUGGAUAUAAAAAGUAGGUAUUGGCACGAUUGUUCCACUUACCGAGCAUCCACAUACAAUCUCCUGCAUGGUCUUCCUUUUGUCAGGGUUUAGCCGACUUUUCCCCUAUCUGAUCCCAAACCGAGUUCCCAUGAAAACAAAUUGCAAAAAUCAUAUGGUUCAGUCAACGAGUCGAAUGUGGUGCCCAAUUCUGGUUUAAAAACUUUGUUACCGUCUCGUUCUGCAAAACCACGUAUCGACUUUUCCAGGCCACCCAUUCUACCAGGAUAAGGCGUCCGCUCUAUUGGAUUUGCUCCUACGCGAACCCUGCAACCAAAUCAAAACGUGGUUGGAACAACUCAAACCGGCAUGCCAACAGGCACGACGAGAUCUGCUCGUUUAUAGUCAGACCCUUAUUGUGGCCAAAUCACACUGCACUCAACAGACGCACACGCUAACCAGGGGGUUGGAAUACUACCGAGCGACAAGUCUCGUACCUUGAAUUUGAUAUAAGCAGGGGGGUGAAAUACCUUUUGAUCUGGCUUCACUGCCGACUCGCCGGAGUCAGCAGGAGCGCUGUUUCUGCUCCCCUCGCCACCAGGGUCGCCCCAACUAUGGUGAACAGCUACCAACGAAUCUCCCGCUCCGGCGGCUGCCCAGCCGUCGAUCUUGCUCCCCUCAUCGUGAACGGAGCCGCGAGGCGAGGCGCCGGAUUGGAGAUCGGCCAGCUACAAGGAGGGAAAGACAACCGCUUCUGUUUAUCUUCGCGCGAGAUCUUGUCAGUGAACGAGCGAGGGGUGGGGGACGGGGCUAUGUGGCACACUGGAUGUAAAUAGACGGCGG